This 497-nucleotide ribosomal RNA is filed under the name uncultured bacterium. RNAcentral's name for it is "partial 16S ribosomal RNA". It matches the Rfam family "Bacterial small subunit ribosomal RNA", at positions 28 to 507 of the family's 1533-position model. The record is from RNAcentral.
GAUGAACGCUGGCGGCGUGCCUAAUACAUGCAAGUCGAGCGAACAGAUAAGGAGCUUGCUCCUUUGACGUUAGCGGCGGACGGGUGAGUAACGCGUGGGUAACCUACCUAUAAGACUGGGAUAACUUCGGGAAACCGGAGCUAAUACCGGAUAAUAUUUCGAACCGCAUGGUUCGAUAGUGAAAGAUGGUUUUGCUAUCACUUAUAGAUGGACCCGCGCCGUAUUAGCUAGUUGGUAAGGUAACGGCUUACCAAGGCGACGAUACGUAGCCGACCUGAGAGGGUGAUCGGCCACACUGGAACUGAGACACGGUCCAGACUCCUACGGGAGGCAGCAGUAGGGAAUCUUCCGCAAUGGGCGAAAGCCUGACGGAGCAACGCCGCGUGAGUGAUGAAGGUCUUCGGAUCGUAAAACUCUGUUAUUAGGGAAGAACAUACGUGUAAGUAACUGUGCACGUCUUGACGGUACCUAAUCAGAAAGCCACGGCUAACUACGUG